GGCGAAAGCCUGAUGGAGCAACGCCGCGUGAGUGAAGAAGGAUUUCGGUUCGUAAAACUCUGUUGUAAGGGAAGAACAAGUACAGUAGUAACUGGCUGUACCUUGACGGUACCUUAUUAGAAAGCCACGGCUAACUACGUGCCAGCAGCCGCGGUAAUACGUAGGUGGCAAGCGUUGUCCGGAAUUAUUGGGCGUAAAGCGCGCGCAGGUGGUUUCUUAAGUCUGAUGUGAAAGCCCACGGCUCAACCGUGGAGGGUCAUUGGAAACUGGGAGACUUGAGUGCAGAAGAGGAUAGUGGAAUUCCAAGUGUAGCGGUGAAAUGCGUAGAGAUUUGGAGGAACACCAGUGGCGAAGGCGA
This 358-nucleotide ribosomal RNA is filed under the name Lysinibacillus fusiformis. RNAcentral's name for it is "bacterial SSU rRNA". It matches the Rfam family "Bacterial small subunit ribosomal RNA", at positions 374 to 724 of the family's 1533-position model. Lineage: Bacteria; Bacillati; Bacillota; Bacilli; Caryophanales; Bacillaceae. The record is from RNAcentral.